CCCAGACUCCUACGGGAGGCAGCAGUGAGGAAUAUUGGUCAAUGGGCGGGAGCCUGAACCAGCCAAGUCGCGUGAGGGAAGACGGUCCUAUGGAUUGUAAACCUCUUUAGGCGGGGAGCAAUGCCGGGCACGUGUGCCCGGAGGGAGAGUACCCGCAGAAUAAGCAUCGGCUAACUCCGUGCCAGCAGCCGCGGUAAUACGGAGGAUCCGAGCGUUAUCCGGAUUCAUUGGGUUUAAAGGGUGCGUAGGUUGUUUUAUAAGUUAGCGGUGAAAUACCGAUGCUCAACAUCGGGGCUGCCGCUAAUACUGUAGGACUAGAGAUCGGAUGCAGCAGGCGGAAUGUGUAGUGUAGCGGUGAAAUGCAUAGAUAUUACACAGAACACCGAUUGCGAAGGCAGCUUGCUAGGCCGGAUCUGACACUGAUGCACGAAAGCGUGGGGAUCGAACAGGAUUAGAUACCCUAGUA
RNAcentral lists this ribosomal RNA (466 nucleotides) under uncultured bacterium. RNAcentral's name for it is "bacterial SSU rRNA". It matches the Rfam family "Bacterial small subunit ribosomal RNA", at positions 330 to 792 of the family's 1533-position model. The record is from RNAcentral.